CCUACGGGGGGCAGCAGUAGGGAAUCUUCCACAAUGGGCGCAAGCCUGAUGGAGCAACACCGCGUGAGUGAAGAAGGGUUUCGGCUCGUAAAGCUCUGUUGUUGGAGAAGAACGUGCGUGAGAGUAACUGUUCACGCAGUGACGGUAUCCAACCAGAAAGUCACGGCUAACUACGUGCCAGCAGCCGCGGUAAUACGUAUGUGGCAAGCGUUAUCCGGAUUUAUUGGGCGUAAAGCGAGCGCAGGCGGUUGCUUAGGUCUGAUGUGAAAGCCUUCGGCUUAACCGAAGAAGUGCAUCGGAAACCGGGCAACUUGAGUGCAGAAGAGGACAGUGGAACUCCAUGUGUAGCGGUGGAAUGCGUAGAUAUAUGGAAGAACACCAGUGGCGAAGGCGGCUGUCUGGUCUGCAACUGACGCUGAGGCUCGAAAGCAUGGGUAGCGAACAGGAUUAGAUACCCCAGUAGUC
This 465-nucleotide ribosomal RNA is filed under the name uncultured bacterium. RNAcentral's name for it is "partial 16S ribosomal RNA". It matches the Rfam family "Bacterial small subunit ribosomal RNA", at positions 338 to 795 of the family's 1533-position model. The record is from RNAcentral.